GAUGAAGAACGCAUCGAAAUGCGAUACGUAAUGUGAAUUGCAGAAUUCAGUGAAUCAUCGAAUCUUUGAACGCACAUUGCGCCCGCCAGCACUCUGGCGGGCAUGCCUGUUCGAGCGUCAUUUCAACCAUCAAGCCCCAGGCUUGCGUUGGAGCCCUGCGGCUGCCGCAGCCUCCUAAAAGCAGUGGCGGGCUCGCUAUCACACCGAGUGCAGUAGAUUACUCUUCGCUCAGGGCGUGCAGCGGGUUCCGGCCGUGAAACCCCCUACUUUUAAAGGUUGACCUCGGAUCAGGUAGGAAUACCCGCUGAACUUAAGCAUAUCAAUAAGCGGAGGA
This 334-nucleotide unclassified non-coding RNA is filed under the name soil metagenome. Its description in RNAcentral is "partial contains 5.8S ribosomal RNA, internal transcribed spacer 2, and large subunit ribosomal RNA". The stretch from base 1 to 120 matches the Rfam family "5.8S ribosomal RNA", at positions 35 to 154 of the family's 154-position model. The record is from RNAcentral.